CGUACACUCCUGCGGGAGGCAGCAGUGGGGAAUAUUGGACAAUGGGCGCAAGCCUGAUCCAGCCAUGCCGCGUGAGUGAUGAAGGCCCUAGGGUUGUAAAGCUCUUUCACCGGUGAAGAUAAUGACGGUAACCGGAGAAGAAGCCCCGGCUAACUUCGUGCCAGCAGCCGCGGUAAUACGAAGGGGGCUAGCGUUGUUCGGAUUUACUGGGCGUAAAGCGCACGUAGGCGGACUAUUAAGUCAGGGGUGAAAUCCCGGGGCUCAACCCCGGAACUGCCUUUGAGACUGGUAGUCUUGAGUUCGAGAGAGGUGAGUGGAAUUCCGAGUGUAGAGGUGAAAUUCGUAGAUAUUCGGAGGAACACCAGUGGCGAAGGCGGCUCACUGGCUCGAUACUGACGCUGAGGUGCGAAAGCGUGGGGAGCAAACAGGAUUAGAAACCCGAGUAGUCCCA
This 451-nucleotide ribosomal RNA is filed under the name uncultured organism. RNAcentral's name for it is "partial 16S ribosomal RNA". It matches the Rfam family "Bacterial small subunit ribosomal RNA", at positions 330 to 797 of the family's 1533-position model. The record is from RNAcentral.